Long non-coding RNA from Mytilus californianus (California mussel), 1045 nucleotides. RefSeq lists it as uncharacterized. The record is from RefSeq and is a predicted model, not a curated record. NCBI's taxonomy places the organism in Eukaryota, Metazoa, Mollusca, Bivalvia, Mytilida, Mytilidae. The transcript has 4 exons.
CUCUGAUAAACAUAUCUUCCGAAAUUCCUCUGGCACGUACCAGAUAAAAAUCUCAUGAAUCUUGGCACUCGAAAGACCUUUCCUGAAUAACAAAACAAUUGUUCGGAUACUAUGUAGGUUUACAGUUUGACACAAAUCAUCGAACGAUCAGAUUUGGUUUCCUUCACAAAAGAUGGAAGAUGAACCGGAUUUGACUUUUAUAGGAACUUCUUUGUUGGUUCUAGUUGUAGCUUCGAUAUUGUUUAUAGUUGGAUUUUCGACGCCUUACUUUAGUGAGACUACUCAAGAUACAUAUCGAACCUACACCGGGUUAUGGAAACAUUGCCUUGAUCGCAUGGGUACAAAUGAAAUGGUAUGUGGGGAAACAGUCAAUAAUGUUACAGAAGCAAAAGAUUUGUUAAAAGUAUGUAAAGCCAUGCUUAUACUUGGACUCCUUGCUAUCUUAACAUCGAUAUUUUGUGUUGCAUUCAGUUUGUGUUUAAGAUGUAAGCCCUAUGAAAGAAGAAUAUUACGAAUUUGUGGUAUUAUGACUACAAUUUUUGCUGUGGUGUUUAUUUUUGUAGGAAUCGCUGUAUAUCCUGAUAUUGCACAAGACGUAGUUCCGGGAGAUCUUGAAACAUAUUAUGGUUCCUCAUUUACAUUAUGCGUGAUAGCAAUGUGUCUCACUAGUUUAGCCGCCAUCUUCCAGAUAAUGGACCUCAUAUAUAGAGUGUUUGUGCUGGAAAGAAAGAAGAACCGUAAACCCCUGAUUACUCCUAACUAAUAUUAUUUGCUGGAUCUUUUGUUUUGAAUAAGUUGAAUUAUUCUGUUUGAUCUAAUUAAAGUGUCACCAAUCAUAUGUCGGACAGCAUAACAAUGUAUGAAUAGGUUAUGAUUUUGCUUUGGGGUAAGAAUUUUCCGCAUUAAUUCAAUAUACGAAAGGCAUUUUAAAGCCCCAGUUGCACGUCCAUAUCAAAACUUGUAUGUUCAGCCCCCAUCCCACGAGUUAUAAGAUAUAAAUACUAUGCAGAAAAAAGACUGGUUACACAAACAUAUAUACAAUUCA